Molecule: ribosomal RNA, 469 nt
Filed under: uncultured bacterium
Lineage: Bacteria
Description: bacterial SSU rRNA
Rfam family: Bacterial small subunit ribosomal RNA
Source: RNAcentral
GCCAGACUCCUACGGGAGGCAGCAGUGGGGAAUAUUGCGCAAUGGGCGAAAGCCUGACGCAGCGACGCCGCGUGAGGGAUGAAGGUCUUCGGAUCGUAAACCUCUGUCAGCAGGGAAGAACGGUCACUGUGCUAAUCAGCAGUGAAUUGACGGUACCUGCAAAGGAAGCACCGGCUAACUACGUGCCAGCAGCCGCGGUAAUACGUAGGGAGCGAGCGUUGUCCGGAAUUACUGGGUGUAAAGGGAGCGUAGGCGGGGAUGCAAGUUGGGUGUUAAAUCUACCGGCUCAACUGGUAGUCGCACUCAAAACUGCAGCUCUUGAGUGAAGUAGAGGCAGGCGGAAUUCCUAGUGUAGCGGUGAAAUGCGUAGAUAUCAGGAGGAACACCGGUGGCGAAGGCGGCCUGCUGGACUGCAACUGACGUUGAGGCCCGAAAGCGUGGGGAGCAAACAGGAUUAGAUACCCCAGUA